This 272-nucleotide ribosomal RNA is filed under the name uncultured bacterium. RNAcentral describes it as "partial small subunit ribosomal RNA". It matches the Rfam family "Bacterial small subunit ribosomal RNA", at positions 26 to 285 of the family's 1533-position model. The record is from RNAcentral.
AGAAUCAACGCUGGCGGCGUGCCUAACACAUGCAAGUCGAACGCGAAAGUCCCGCAAGGGAUUAGUAGAGUGGCAAACGGGUGAGUAACACGUGGGUGACCUGCCUUCGAGUGGGGGAUAACGUCCCGAAAGGGACGCUAAUACCGCAUGACAUCCUGCUUUUUAAGAGGCGGAGAUCAAAGCUGGGGAUCGCAAGACCUGGCGCUUGAAGAGGGGCCCGCGCCUGAUUAGCUAGUUGGUGGGGUAACGGCUCACCAAGGCAUCGAUCAGUA